ACAUUAGCUAAGCAAAAAAAAAAAAAAAUGUCUGUGCUCCAAAAUAAAACAAUUUAAUUUGAAAAAAUAAAUAUCGUCUUAAUCAGUGUUAUUUGUGAAAAUUAUUUUCAAUACACAAUGUGUAGUAGCACAAAUUCUUCGGCACGCCACAAAAAUUCCACCACCAUUUCUUUCCAUCAUCAAAAUGCACAACCUCAGCCUUGUGCAUUUAGAAAAAUUAAAAUAAAAAAAAUGAUACAAAACCACCACCAAUGGAUUUGGAAAAUAUAGUGGAGAUCAAUUCCAGACAUCAAUGACUGAGUUUACAGUUCGAAAUUUUCCUCCACGCCAUCCAGAACGAGUGAAACGAAUCUAAUGUUUAGUAGAGACUACAAUACUUGAGUGUGAUCCACAUUUCACAGACUUGUAGUGUCUGCACCCUCCGACCACUUGUUGAUGUGUUCGCUCUAAUUCUAGACAAAAACAACAUUCAACAAUUCUAUGUCGAGUAUAAAAAUGACGUCAGAGACUCCUUGCUCGCCACAGUAUUGGAUGCAGUCCGUUCGAGUGGCAAUCAAGAUGUGCAAGUUCGUAUUACAAAUACAUUGCUAGGAAAGCAUUUUGUUCCCCUCAACAGUUGUGUGCAUGAAGCGACUCUCCUUCGUUUAGUGAAAAAGAAUUUCCAAAAUUCCUGACGUAGAUGUAAGAUUUAAGAGAAAUUCAACGCCAACAUUCCUCAUAGAAGUCUGAAGUAAAGUGUCACACAAGACGUUCAUGUUUUGAUAUAUAAUUCGACUGAAUAAA
Molecule: long non-coding RNA, 783 nt
Organism: Episyrphus balteatus (marmalade hoverfly)
Lineage: Eukaryota; Metazoa; Arthropoda; Insecta; Diptera; Syrphidae
Exons: 3
Source: RefSeq, a predicted model, not a curated record